Molecule: non-coding RNA, 211 nt
Organism: Pelobates cultripes (western spadefoot toad)
Lineage: Eukaryota; Metazoa; Chordata; Amphibia; Anura; Pelobatidae
Source: the annotation of a GenBank genome assembly
AAUUCAGCACUGCACAAAGGAUGCUGGCUAUUUCCAUUCUUCAAUCUAUACCUAGCAAUGAAUCUGUCAUAAGAGCCAUACAUACGUAGAGGAUAUUGUAAAUUUGCUAAAUUAUACAUCCUGGAACAUAUCCUUACAUUUGGUUUCCUAUUUUUAAGGAAAUCAGACCAAUUGAUGAUUGCUAUGUGUACGGAUUAUUAUGCCAUCUAAG